UAGAGAGAGUUAGAGCAAGAGGAGUGAGAGUAAGAGGGGGAUGAGGAGAAGGAGUACAACAAGGAAGAGGACAGAGGAAAACAAUUAUGAAUGAGAUCCAGCCCCUUUUGGUUGACCAUGUGGUCAAUCAUGGUUUGAGUUUCAGGGAGGCUGGGCAGAGGGUCCAGCAUAACUUAAGCCCCUACACUGUAGCUAGUGUCAUCUGGACAUUUCAAAAUGAGAACAGAAUUGAUAGAUGACCCUACAUUAGAGGAAGAAAAUGGAUUUUCACAGCAGAGCAGGAACAACACAGUGAAUAUGGUCAUAGCAAACAACAGCAAUUUGACAAUUGCAACAACACAUCAUCACUGACGACACAACAUUCAGUAACAUAAAUAGGAGAGUUAUGGAACUAGAAGCUGCUGUAGAGCAUCAUGAUUUUAUUUAUGUUAAAGAGGUUGGCUUUAACCGAUGCAAAACUAGACUUCACGAG
Molecule: long non-coding RNA, 472 nt
Organism: Onychostoma macrolepis
Lineage: Eukaryota; Metazoa; Chordata; Actinopteri; Cypriniformes; Cyprinidae
Exons: 3
Source: RefSeq, a predicted model, not a curated record